UUUAAGGUCUAACCUGCCCAAUGAGGAUUUAAAUGGCCGCAGUAUUUUGACUGUGCAAAGGUAGCAUAAUUAUUAGUUUUUUAAUUGAAAGCUUGUAUGAAGGGUUGGACGAGAUGAAAUCUGUCUUUAUUUAAAUUAAAAUAUAAUUUAACUUUUAAGUAAAAAGGCUUAAAUGUUUAUAAAAGACGAGAAGACCCUAUAGAUCUUUAUUUAAUUAAAAUUUUAAUAAUUUAGGAUUACUUUAAUUUAAAGUUUUAAUUAAAUUUUAUUGGGGUAAUAUAAAGAUUAAAUAAAUUCUUUUUAUUUAUAACAUUGAUUUAUGAAUAUAUGAUCCAUUAAUAUUGAUUAUAAGAUUAAGUUACCUUAGGGAUAACAGCGUAAUUUUUUUGGAGAGCUCAUAUCGAUAAAAAAGUUUGCGACCUCGAUGUUGGAUUAAAAAUUAGCUUGGGUGCAGAAGCUCAAGAUUUUGGUCUGUUCGACCAUUAAAUUUUUACAUGAUCUGAGUUCAGACCGGCGUGAGCCAGGUCGGUUUCUAUCUUUAUUAAGAUAAAAUGUUUUAGUACGAAAGGACCAAAUAUUUAAUAUAAUUAUAUUUAUUUUUUGAAGAAUAUU
RNAcentral lists this ribosomal RNA (612 nucleotides) under Cicindela (Rivacindela) sp. JP-25b. RNAcentral's name for it is "partial 16S ribosomal RNA". It matches the Rfam family "Bacterial large subunit ribosomal RNA", at positions 1844 to 2739 of the family's 2925-position model. Lineage: Eukaryota; Metazoa; Arthropoda; Insecta; Coleoptera; Carabidae. The record is from RNAcentral.